ACAACGAAAAGAAUAGCUAAUGAAAAACCAGAAUCAUCAAGCUCAUCAAAAAGAACAAGUUAUGAAACAAAUUCAAUAAGAAAUUUAAAUCAAUAUUACAUAACAGGAAAAAUAAAUGAAAAAGAAUAUCUAAUACUUUUGAAUACAGGACAAGAAGAAAAUUAUAUAGCAAAAUAUCUAGUAAAAAAUGAAGAAAUAAAGACUGAUAAUGAUAUGUG
This 218-nucleotide long non-coding RNA is filed under the name Capsicum annuum. Its description in RNAcentral is "long non-coding RNA (CANN_LNC011653)". The record is from RNAcentral. Lineage: Eukaryota; Viridiplantae; Streptophyta; Magnoliopsida; Solanales; Solanaceae.